GGAAAGCAAAUGUUGCAGCUUGGAAUGCAAAGAGCAAUGUUUUCAUCAGUGCCAUCAUGUUGGCUGUGGAUCGCUAUUAUUUCCUUGAAAGAAGUUGGAAGAUGGAGAGUCGAUCCUGCUUCACACCUCCAAGAGAUGUGCACAGAGUCACAAUUGACAGCAGCAGUUUAAUUAAACAAAAGCAGCACGGCUGUUUCUUGCUAAAGCAGCAGACCCUAAUCAUCUGCUAGAAAUGGAUUCCUCCCCCUCUCACUGAGGAUAAACACUUGGAGCACUUGCAAAUUCUGAUAAGCGGGUGAACUGGAAAGGACGGGACUGUGCCAGACGAGGUGAACUGCCUGCAGUGGGGAGGCUCCCUCCUGCCCCUGGAAAUGCGGAUGAGAAAAUAGAACACAAAGAUGAACAAACCUCAGGGGAACAUGUUCAGGCUGUAAAAAUACUGACGCAGUAUCAAGAUAUCUGGAAGCACUCUUGGAAUACCCUGUGAGUCAUGGGCGCUGUAUAUUACAUGGUCAACGCUUAUUCAACAAAAGUAAUUUCUCAUGUGAGACCACGGGAAUCAGAGAAAUUGGCUUUGCACCAAGGUGCCUGAUUCAGCAAGAUGUUACCAGCGCAGAGGCUCUGCUGCUGUGCUCCAGCUUUUAAACACCGGGAGAGGGGAAGUAAUCAGCACGAGGAGAAAACAGGAGAUCCCUUACAGCUCUGUGCAUGGCAGUUUUUAACUCUGAGCUGGAGGAGGAAUAAUACAUGACACGGAAGGAGAAAUGCUGGGCACUGGAGUGCACACAGAACGUCCCAGCGACCUCCAAUUCCCUGCCAAAGGCACAGGGGUGAAAGACGUGGAUUUUAUCAUGUUCCUGGAGAGAGACAUCUUAAAUAUAUGAAGCAGAGGAGAAAAGAUUACUGCAGCACAAAGCAACACUCUUCCCUCCUCACUCACAAAAGCCAUAGGCAACAAUUGAGCCGUGCACAUGGGAAGGUUUAUUUUCUUCAUGAAAACGAGUGAUUUAAAUAAGAGCCAGAACCAGCCAAAUGCUGAGCCCCUUGGCUGCCAGCUCACAUGGAUGUACCGUGGCUGUGAAGAGCCCUUGGUUGGUGCCACACACUUGAGAGGAGGAGCAAUGCAAAUUGGCACACGUGAGCUCUUUCUGGUGCCAAUUGGAACCCAUCUCCACUUUCUUCUAAAUCCCAACUCCUCGCUCGUAUUCUUUUAGAGGAUCACAGAGCACUGAGCACGGAGCUGAAAAGCUUCGCCUGCCCUAGGAGCUAAAGGCACAUAUUUCCAAAAGCAGCAGGCUGCAACCAGCUCCAAGCCCUCUUGUUGCAUGCAGAGCCACAAAAGCAUUAUGGUAACUCUGAGCACUGAACCAUUUAAAAUCUAUUUUAAUUGAUUUCUGGCUACUUUGUGAUUCCAGCAUGUUGUUAGAUGAGUGGUAGAUAAAAGUAGCAGGAGGUAACAACUUCUGUGGGGAGAUCAUGCCUAAAAUACGGCGUUCAACUCUGGGUACCUCAUUGCCAGAGAGAUGCAGACAAAUUGGAAAGAAUUCAUAGAAGAGCAUUAAAAAUGAUUAAGGGUCUGAAGAGACUGAGUUAUGAGCGAAGAUUAAAGGAACUUAAUAUGAAUCACUUGGCUAAAUGAUGACUAAGAGGGAAACGAUACCCUUCAACAAGUACUUGGAGGGCAUAAAUAUCACAAAUAAAAAGGAAUUAUUUAGGGCUCUGAAGGACAUACCACUUGGGAUAAAAGGAUGGUGUUAGGCAAAGGGAAACUGGCUCUGAACAUACAUCGUUAAAGUCUAACAGGCCAUUUAUGGGAAACUAAAUCCCGACACAUUUAUCUAACCCUGCUGCAGUGUUAAUUUUUGCCUAUGAUAGCAAAAGAAAUCCCAUUGUCUUCAGUUAGAUGCAGUCCAAGGUUGUAUGGGAAAGAGGCAUCGCUCCCAAUGGCAAGUUGGGAAAACAGCAAAGAAGAAACAUUCAGAGCUUUUGAAGAGCCACUGUGCAGCUGGAAGAAGUGCCAAAAGGGAAGAAAUGCCACGGUGUGGCAGCCCUGACCCCAGCCUGUCUUAGAAAGCAGCUGUGCAUUGAGCAGGAUUGAAUAUCAGCAAGAAAUCGGACUUGGCCAUGCCUUGAUCAGCAGAGCGGAUCAGAGGGACAGCGCUGUGAUUCCUAAAACUGCUACCACGUAUAUCUACAUACAUCACCUUGUGGUUCUUUGGGCUUACUGCAUGGAAACUGCCCGGCUGCAGCCAGAGGUCCCCACCCAGGGGGCAAUCCCAACCUGACAGCUCCUGCAGAUCGGGGCUCUCAGCCUUUCUCACUGCAGACACCCAAGGUCAGGGGAUGGGCUCUGAGUGCCUGAUGGAGCUGUGGGCAUCCCUGUGCAUUGCAGGGGGUUGGACUAGAUGGCUUUUAGAGGUCCCUUCCAACUCAACCAUGGCUUGAGAAAGGCUUUGGAAACUGUGCCUGGGGGAGGGAGGUCAUGGGAAAAGGGCUGCCCCAAGAGCUGCAGGAGGAGGAAGCAAAAGCCUCUGGGGUGGUAAUGGGCAAUGAACUUCUCCAUUCAGUGCAUGAGGCACAGAGCAGAAAAAUCAACAUUUCUGCCUCUCUUUGCAAGGUGCUGACAGUACAGUGCAGCCCAUUUCCCCAGAUUAGUAUCCCAUCAAAACUGUGCUCUGAGGACACAUUCCAACUGGUUUAUCACAAAGUUACAUCUGGCUGUAAAUGUGCAGCUCUGCUGUGGGCAAACCCAGCCAGUGAGCCUCUCGUCCAGGCCUCUGCCCCCAGCACAGUCAGCAG
Gallus gallus (chicken) is the source of this 2799-nucleotide long non-coding RNA. Lineage: Eukaryota; Metazoa; Chordata; Aves; Galliformes; Phasianidae. The record is from Ensembl.